AUUGAACGCUGGCGGCAGGCCUAACACAUGCAAGUCGAACGAGUGGCGGACGGGUGAGUAAUGUCUGGGAAACUGCCUGAUGGAGGGGGAUAACUACUGGAAACGGUAGCUAAUACCGCAUACCAUCAGAUGUGCCCAGAUGGGAUUAGCUUGUUGGUGGGGUAACGGCUGACCAAGGCGACGAUCCCUAGCUGGUCUGAGAGGAUGACCAGCCACACUGGAACUGGGGCAUGGUCCAGACGCCUACGGGAGGAGGCAGUGGGGAAUAUUGCACAAUGGGCGCAAGCCUGAUGCAGCAAUGCGGCGUGUAUGAGGAAGGCCUUCGGGUUGUAAAGUACUUUCAGCGGGGAGGCGUUACCCGCAGAAGAGGCACCGGCUAACUCCGUGCCAGCAGCCGCGGUAAUUC
This 406-nucleotide ribosomal RNA is filed under the name uncultured bacterium. RNAcentral's name for it is "partial 16S ribosomal RNA". It matches the Rfam family "Bacterial small subunit ribosomal RNA", at positions 30 to 526 of the family's 1533-position model. The record is from RNAcentral.